CGUACACUCUGCAGAAUCAUAGGUGUUAGAAAACCUCUCCUCCAGCUCCCUCCUGAUUCUUCAAGGUAGUUGUGCCUGUGCUGACAAUUCUUCCUUGGGGAUACAGAGAGGCUCUUUCUAUGAAACUAGUGCCCAUCACAAACAGGAUGGAACUGAGCACCCACCACACGCCCAGAACACAUGUCACCAUUUCGCGACUACAUGGAAACCUGACCGCUAGCACUGAUCCAAUCUAGAGGAGUCUAUGUAAAUAGCAGCUGUGCAGCUGGACUCUGCCUCCACUCCUCAGAAAGUCGAUGUUCUCGCUAGCCCAGACUGGAUUUCUGCAUAUGAUCUCCAUGCCUUGCCUGCUGUGAUAUAUCUUUAUACUCAAAGAAUUGUACACUUUUCAUUUUGAACAUGAAAUAACAUCCAGACUCUCACUGGAAGACUCCUGGCCGACUAGAGCACCACCUGUUCUUGAUAUUUUUUCAACCAAUUAAGCAUUUAAAUUGUUUCUCAUCUAAACUGGAUUUGCUUUUAUUAUUUUUUCCUUGCCAUUUUUCUUUGCCACAGCCAUCAACAAUACCUAGCAAACAACUGCUUAAUGUGCUACGGAAACAAAAGUGCGGUUGUGCGGAAGCAGAAACGAGAGGGGAUGGGGUGGAGUGGAGAGAAGGCGAGCUGGAACCCGGGGCUGACUUGCGUCAGGGGACCUUGGUCAGGUGAUAUUCUCCUACGAAAGAAAGACUCCCACUGGCCUUCUCCCGUGGCUUUACCAACCACACUGGCAUAUCCUCUGUCAUACCUGCCACUGAGCCGUAUCUUAAACAAUAUGGCACGAAUGUAA
Molecule: long non-coding RNA, 829 nt
Filed under: Sus scrofa (pig)
Lineage: Eukaryota; Metazoa; Chordata; Mammalia; Artiodactyla; Suidae
Description: lncRNA (ENSSSCG00005035639.1)
Source: RNAcentral